This 450-nucleotide ribosomal RNA is filed under the name uncultured bacterium. RNAcentral's name for it is "partial 16S ribosomal RNA". It matches the Rfam family "Bacterial small subunit ribosomal RNA", at positions 354 to 796 of the family's 1533-position model. The record is from RNAcentral.
GUGGGGAAUUUUGGACAAUGGGCGCAAGCCUGAUCCAGCAAUGCCGCGUGCAGGAAGAAGGCCUUCGGGUUGUAAACUGCUUUUGUACGGAACGAAACGGUCCUGGUUAAUACCUGGGGCUAAUGACGGUACCGUAAGAAUAAGCACCGGCUAACUACGUGCCAGCAGCCGCGGUAAUACGUAGGGUGCGAGCGUUAAUCGGAAUUACUGGGCGUAAAGCGUGCGCAGGCGGUGCUGUAAGACAGGCGUGAAAUCCCCGGGCUCAACCUGGGAAUUGCGCUUGGGACUGCAGUGCUGGAGUACGGCAGAGGGGGAUGGAAUUCCGCGUGUAGCAGUGAAAUGCGUAGAUAUGCGGAGGAACACCGAUGGCGAAGGCAAUCCCCUGGGCCUGCACUGACGCUCAUGCACGAAAGCGUGGGGAGCAAACAGGAUUAGAUACCCUGGUAGUCC